CAUAUUCUCUCAAGGAAAUUUCACAGACAUCUACUAUUAAAAGCAUAUAAAUCGUGGUGAAUCUAAAAGAUCUCAUCUAUCGAAUUGGCUAAAUUCAAUGUUCACGACAUUUCAAUGCUGUAUGAUCACUAGUAUACCCAACCGCCCUAGCCACAUCAUUUGUGGAAACCCACUUAAUUACAAAUCAAUCUCAUUAAUUUUACAUCGCCAUAACUUGGAAAGCUUCCUUUCAAUUAUGGAAAACCUCUAUUCAUAUUGGUGUAGAAAUGUUAACCGCUGACAUGCGCACAUGUGUAAAAAAAAUUGCAUAUAAUUUCCACAUCGUGUAUACACACUUUAUGCCGGGUAAAAAACAAACAAAAACACUAUCACAAUCGUGUCUUACGCAGGUGCAAAUAGGAAUUCUUGAUCCUAAGAAAUAUAAUAUAUGUCACGCACAGAAAAAAAAAGUUAGGAAGCGAAAAGGGGUCAUGCCGUUGGUCCACGCGUGCGUACAAUUUAGCACUAAACUCUAAAUAAAAGCCAUAUAAUUCAAUCAUCGACAAGCUAAAUUUAUGCAAAAGAAUCCGAUCGGAUGAGGCUACCGUUGGUUCACCUGGCGAUCGAGCAGAUAGUACAUGGGAGCCGGAGGGACACUUGGACUGACAGGGACCGGAACAUCAUUUGUUUCUUUCCAUGAAGUCGACAUGUUGGAAAGCCGGGUGAAAAUGGAGGCGGGUGAUUAGGCCUAAGCUAGUCCCGUCCACGUUGCUUGCUUGCAUGCACGAACCAAACUAACCAGGGAACCGGAAGCCGUUGUUUGCACGAAUCCUCUUGCUAAAUUAGCCCCCGUGCUUUAAAUGGACAAUGUGCUUACGCACCUUAAGAUUCAAAUUAGGCCUAGUUUGUUGUUCGAUCGUGUGAGAGGCUAAGUAAGUAAGUAUCCAGCUCAACUCAAUAAUCCAAUCAGAUGUUUAGAUUGAUACUCUACCUGAUUCAGUAGUUCAUCUCCAAAAUUCUGAAAUUCCAAUCUACAGGACAAAUCAUCCCUGCAAGUUAAAAUUAUUUUGAUCGAUAUUAACGGUGUGUUUGGUACAACCCUGCCUCCAUGGAUUUGGUAAAGCCGGUCAUUCAUCACUUCGGUUUUUUUCGAGCU
Molecule: long non-coding RNA, 1135 nt
Filed under: Brachypodium distachyon (stiff brome)
Lineage: Eukaryota; Viridiplantae; Streptophyta; Magnoliopsida; Poales; Poaceae
Description: long non-coding RNA (BDIS_LNC000941)
Source: RNAcentral